This is a non-coding RNA of Rattus norvegicus (Norway rat), 3305 nucleotides long. Lineage: Eukaryota; Metazoa; Chordata; Mammalia; Rodentia; Muridae. The record is from RefSeq and is a predicted model, not a curated record.
CCUCGGACUGGGCCCCACGGCACUUAACUAGCCUCAGACAGUGAUGGCUGACAGCCAUCCAUACAAUCACGAUGCGUUCUCUGAAUAAUUUCCGGUGUCACUGAGUACUUUGUGAAUAAUGGGCAGAUUAUUUAACGUCCGUGCUUGGCAUAGAGUAAGAAUGGUGCCAGCACUAGCUAGGAGAGCGUGUCAGUGAGCCCCAUAACUGGGUUUUGCUCACAGUCUGCUGCACUCGGUCUCUAGGAUAUAACACGGUUGUUGUGUGUGAUGCUGCCUGCUGAUGAAGCCCUAGGGAUGCUUCUCCCUGCAGGCCUUAGGAUAUUUCAAGGGCAUCAGGUUCUAAGUGGCACCCCGGUGGCCUGAAAGAUAUAACACCCGUUAAAAAAAAAAGUCCAGUGUUUAGUCAUGAGAUAGGUUCCCUGGGAAAUGACUGGAAUCAUAAUUUAGGAAAUGGCAUUAAGAAAUAGCAGUUGAUCCACACGAUAAAGUGUUUUAACAGCCACUAAAGCAUGAUCAGGGAGACACAAGUAAGAGAAUUAAAAAAUUAUUUCGUCCCUUCCAGAAAAAACCAUAAAGUCAAGGCCCUAGUGGAUCGUCUUUAAGAAAUGGCCGCUUGACAGAGCCUCAUGCUGUUUUAAGGAGAAACUAGACUGUGUGGGAAGGGCUGGGAACACACGAGAAGAGCUGAGCUGCUGAGAACCAGCUGUCAGAGGGAAACGCCAAGGAGGUACAUUACACACAAGAAAAACUGAGACAACCACGAGAGCUUUAGGAACUCGAUGCCAAUGGCUGUCUUCAAACGUCCCCUUCCCCAGUUCCAAAUGGAAGACAUGUUGAAACUAAUGAGGGGCUUUUUUCCCCCCUUUCAAAAUCAUGUGCAUGGAAAAUUGUAAUGCUUCCCAGAAAUAAAUCGAGUUGUUGAAACAGAACAUGAUACUAAAGGACCCUAUUGUACCGAGCUCGUGUGCUAAGGAGCCCGAUUGUGUUUUGCAGUCUGGGUCAACACACGGGGACAAAAUGAGUGUGAAGUGCUCUUUCACAGGCAAUCUUCUGCACACAAAACACGCACCUCUUCUCCUCCUCAUGUGAUGGGAAGGUCAUGUGGACAAUGAGAACACAACUCCUUUGUUACCCUUCAGACAACAGAUGCCGGGGCUUCUCUUCAGAGGCCUGGGUUAGAAAUGGAUGCAGAGAGGAGAGGGAGCGGGGGGCGCACCUCGCCUGCGUUCAGUGGGGUAUUUGCUGCCUUUAAUGGACCGUGUUUGAGUCCGUGCUGUGAUAACUUCAAACAAAAUAAAAUCAAAUCUCCAUUUAAUGAAGAGCCUCAUACUCAGUUUGUAUUCAAUCAAAAAAUUACUAAAAUUAGAGCAUGUUUCUAGUUCAAUUAACGUCCUCUGCACUCACAAUCAAAUAUUCAAUAACUGGCCAUUUUGCCUGUUGAGGAGGGGAAUAAAAGCAGAGCCCACCGUCCGUUAGCUGUUAUUUAUUUGCCUCUUUAUGUUAAGCAGACAGUUAGAGUGAAACUGCACAUAUUACUACUGAUUUAGGUUUCAUUUAAUCCUUUGAAACAGAAUAAUUAUUCCCAAUUUAUAUGCCAUUAAAUCUUUUAUGCACACGAGCAGCAAAUUCAAUUUCUGCUUAAGUGUAGAGUUUGUGAUGCUCUUUAAAGGGCCCUCAAAACUGACAAUUGUUUCUGAGGGGUCCUCAAUCCUGUUGCAUCUUGCUUUUCUUAUCAAUGGCUUUUAAGGAAAUAAAGUGCAACAAAUCCAAAAAGAUUAGAAAUUCACUUUUGCAGGUAUGAAAUAAAAUGUUUCCAUAGACACACUUUGUGGCAAUUACUGGUAACCCAUAAAUCUUCAUUUAAUGGAGGCAUUUAUUUUACUUAAAUAAUUAAAGGUUUUCAUCAAAAAUCAAUAGCUUAAUGAACUGAAGGUACAACCUAUCUACAGAAACACACUAAAAUGAAGGGGGCUAAUUGUUAUUUAGUGAACUUUGCUUACGGCAAUUACAUCAUUUGGAUAAUUCAAACUCAAAUUCCUUCCUUCCUUUUAACAAUAGAUUUGUGGCUUCUUGUUCUUGUUAUUGAUGUUGUUUUGUUUUGUUGAGACAGAAACUCUUCAUAUAGCCCUAGCUGUCAUCCGAGCGAGCACUCAUUCUGUAGACCAAGCCUGUGUCUGCCUCCUGGGUGCUGGGCUUAAAGGCAUGCACUGGAGUUCAAUAACACAUUUGCAGCUGUUAUGACCCCACUUCAAUUCAAGGAUAAUCUGGGAGCAAAGGGAAGUAAGUUAUCUAAAGCGCUCACACUAGAGAUUACGAUGUAACAAGUCUACCUUCUCAAGUCUACUGAGAUGACAGUUAUGCAGGACAAAGGCUACAUCAUCACAAGGAAUGCUAUGUUGCUAUAGUAGCCUUGAAUUCCACUGAGGAAAGGCAUUCUCCUUCUGGUCAAAGGAAUGGAGUCUACUGCCAGUCUAGGUAUGAACCUACCAUUCCAAGCUACUCAAAACUCAAGAGUCAAUCCAGGUGGGUCAGUCAGUCCUCUGGCUAAGGAACCACCCCUCAGGGAGGUGGAAUGAUUAUUGUCUUAUUGAGAUAAUGUACCUUCCAGAACUCUCCAUGUCACUGCGGUAACUACAGGUCUGCUGGGGCUCUGUUAAGUCUGUCCACACUUCUGAGCCCUGACUCACAAAGGUGGAAUUCCCAGUCCCUCUGGUUAUUUUGUUGCUUUGUUUGUUUUUGUUUUUCCUUUCUAUCUCUCUCUUUUUUUCACCUAUUGGCAAGAGGAUAAGUAUUUUUUCUCUGGUACUUUGGGCUUUCCCCACUUUUUCUCUGAAGUCCCCCUUUUCCCUAUAGCUGCUCAUGAACCUCUCUGUCUAACCCCAAAAGGUGCAGUCUUUUUCUCUUUACUACUCCUAUUUAUGGACUUUUGUUUCAUGUGUAUGGAUGUUUUGUCUGUCUGUAUGUACAUGUAACACUUGCAUGCAGGGCCCUUAGAGGUCAGAAGAAGACAUCAGAUCCCUUGGAACUGGAGUUACAAAGGAUCAUUGAGGCACCAUGUCCCCUCCUGGGAACCCAACCUCAGGUCCUCUGCGACAGCAGCAAGUGCUCUCCGUCACGGAGCCAUCUCUCCAGGCCCUCUCUUCAUAUUGGUUGAAACACAUCUGAUUUAGGACUCAUAAGCGGCCUGAGCAAUCGAAUGAGGCUUUAUUGAGGAAAUCAAAUGGCUGCUUGAGAGCGGAUUCUGUUUCCAGCUUCCAAGGGCUUCUGACAAACAAGCCGGAACAAAGCCAAAUGGUUAAUUGUGA